Hyaena hyaena (striped hyena) is the source of this 605-nucleotide long non-coding RNA. RefSeq lists it as uncharacterized. The transcript is spliced from 3 exons. Lineage: Eukaryota; Metazoa; Chordata; Mammalia; Carnivora; Hyaenidae. The record is from RefSeq and is a predicted model, not a curated record.
GCCAGGGAGUCCCUUUCCCCCUCCCUUCCUCCGACAGGUUUGCCCUGCUCCCAAGAAAUGGGAACUCACUCGGCUGUGCACACAGGUGUCUCAGCCGGGGCCGUCUUUCGGUGCCCAUCUGCCACUGUGCGAGGAGGGGACACUGACGCAGAAUAUACACAGCAAAAGAUAUCUUGACUUGCUUGAAGUCACCUGGAUAAUCAACAGGAGCCAGGCUGAAUUCCCCAACCCAGUCCCACAAAUGUGUCCCCAAGAACCCACCGUGUGCUCUGCGCCCUGUUGGCAGGGAUGAGACUACCAAGAAUUGAUAAGUGGUGUCUUGAUUGGCCAAGCAAGCCUAAAAUCCUUGGAAUGAGAACGCAAACAGAUUACCGGGCUCCUGACUAUGUAAGAGAAGUUGCAAAAUCCCUACAAGUUUAGAAAAGGCGGAGUUGGAACGUUUGUCCAUUCAAUUAUUUAACAAACAUGUAUUGAACCCCAAACACUAGACAUGAGCAUGAGGUGGUAAAUCACCCAGACAAGGUUCCUGCUCUCCUGGAAUCCUAGAGAGGGAGAAAGGCAAUAAACAAGUAAACAAAUAGAAUAAAUUUAGCAGGAGAAACUAA